GACGAACGCUGGCGGCGUGCCUAAUACAUGCAAGUCGAACGAAUCUUGAUUGAGAGCUUGCUCUCAAUCUUGGUUAGUGGCGGACGGGUGAGUAACACGUAGGUAACCUGCCCUUAAGAUCGGGAUAACAUUCGGAAACGGAUGCUAAGACCGGAUAAACAACUUGGUCGCAUGGCUGAGUUGGGAAACACGGUGNAAGCUGUGGCUUAAGGAUGGGCCUGCGGCGCAUUAGCUAGUUGGUGGGGUAACGGCUCACCAAGGCGACGAUGCGUAGCCGACCUGAGAGGGUGAACGGCCACACUGGGACUGAGACACGGCCCAGACUCCUACGGGAGGCAGCAGUAGGGAAUCUUCCACAAUGGGCGAAAGCCUGAUGGAGCAACGCCGCGUGAGUGAGGAAGGCUUUCGGGUCGUAAAGCUCUGUUGCCAGGGAAGAAUAAGAGUGAGAGUAACUGCUCACUCGAUGACGGUACCUGAGAAGAAAGCCCCGGCUAACUACGUGCCAGCAGCCGCGGUAAUACGUAGGGGGCAAGCGUUGUCCGGAUUUAUUGGGCGUAAAGCGCGCGCAGGCGGUUCUUUAAGUCUGGUGUCUAAGUGCGGGGCUCAACCCCGUGAUGCACUGGAAACUGGGGAACUUGAGUGCAGAAGAGGAGAGCGGAAUUCCACGUGUAGCGGUGAAAUGCGUAGAGAUGUGGAGGAACACCAGUGGCGAAGGCGGCUCUCUGGACUGUAACUGAC
This 738-nucleotide ribosomal RNA is filed under the name Cohnella sp. L1996. RNAcentral's name for it is "bacterial SSU rRNA". It matches the Rfam family "Bacterial small subunit ribosomal RNA", at positions 28 to 744 of the family's 1533-position model. Lineage: Bacteria; Bacillati; Bacillota; Bacilli; Caryophanales; Paenibacillaceae. The record is from RNAcentral.